CAUAUAAAGAAUGUAUAGGCUUAUGAGUCAGGUGUUCUCCCUCCCAGGUCCUCCCUCUGAAGCAGGGAUGAACGGGACAGUUUUCGCUGGGUCCCAGGUUGUAGAGGGGGAUGUUGCUGUGAGGCCCAGGGCCGCUAGGACAGUGUCCAUUUCCGAAAUGUCCGCCACCUUAUAUUCAGUGUCUUGGUACUGAAUGAGGAGUACAUGCAUAGGACCCCAGCGGUACUUCACUCC
Pelobates cultripes (western spadefoot toad) is the source of this 234-nucleotide non-coding RNA. The record is from the annotation of a GenBank genome assembly. Lineage: Eukaryota; Metazoa; Chordata; Amphibia; Anura; Pelobatidae.